This 383-nucleotide ribosomal RNA is filed under the name uncultured bacterium. Its description in RNAcentral is "bacterial SSU rRNA". It matches the Rfam family "Bacterial small subunit ribosomal RNA", at positions 28 to 414 of the family's 1533-position model. The record is from RNAcentral.
GACGAACGCUGGCGGCGUGCUUAACACAUGCAAGUCGAACGGUGACGGAGAGCUUGCUCUCCUGAUCAGUGGCGAACGGGUGAGUAACACGUGGGCAACCUGCCCAGACUUCGGGAUAACGCUUCGAAAGAGGUGCUAAUACCGAAUACGAACGCCGUGGGCAUCCACGGUGUUGGAAAGUUUUUCGGUCUGGGAUGGGCCCGCGGCCUAUCAGCUUGUUGGUGAGGUAAUGGCUCACCAAGGCGACGACGGGUAGCCGGCCUGAGAGGGCGACCGGCCACACUGGGACUGAGACACGGCCCAGACUCCUACGGGAGGCAGCAGUGGGAAUAUUGCGCAAUGGGCGAAAGCCUGACGCAGCAACGCCGCGUGGGGGAUGAAGG